Molecule: ribosomal RNA, 395 nt
Filed under: uncultured bacterium
Lineage: Bacteria
Description: bacterial SSU rRNA
Rfam family: Bacterial small subunit ribosomal RNA
Source: RNAcentral
UGGGGAAUAUUGGACAAUGGGCGCAAGCCUGAUCCAGCCAUGCCGCGUGAGUGAUGAAGGCCUUAGGGUUGUAAAGCUCUUUUAGCGGGGAAGAUAAUGACGGUACCCGCAGAAAAAGCCCCGGCUAACUUCGUGCCAGCAGCCGCGGUAAUACGAAGGGGGCUAGCGUUGCUCGGAAUUACUGGGCGUAAAGCGCACGUAGGCGGACUCUUAAGUCGGUGGUGAAAUCCUGGAGCUCAACUCCAGAACUGCCUUCGAUACUGGGAGUCUUGAGUUCGGGAGAGGUGAGUGGAACUGCGAGUGUAGAGGUGAAAUUCGUAGAUAUUCGCAAGAACACCAGUGGCGAAGGCGGCUCACUGGCCCGAUACUGACGCUGAGGUGCGAAAGCGUGGGGA